Callithrix jacchus (white-tufted-ear marmoset) is the source of this 816-nucleotide long non-coding RNA. Lineage: Eukaryota; Metazoa; Chordata; Mammalia; Primates; Cebidae. The record is from Ensembl.
GUCCGCAGCCCAUGUGAGGAGUCUGAUUACCAGGGGAACCUGGAAGAGACUUUGCCCCCGUGGUGAUUAAAGGAAUCAGGCCCAGUGUGCCUUGGGAAGCAGUUCUUCCAGUUGAGAGCCAGUUCACUCAGUGUGAAAUGGAAGGAGGAUUAUCCCUAGCCUCAUAUGCAGUGCUUAGGGGUCUUGGGCUCUGUGCUUGAUUGCAAGAACCCAGGGGGCCUGGCAGUUAAGCAGCAUGAAAGGAAUUCCAAGGCCUCAUUUCCCCCUCUUUACUGAGGCAAUCUUGGCUGAGCCCCAACCCUGGGGAUGCCCUCAGGACCCAGACAGAGCUCCGGGUGACCAGUCUUCUCAUCCUGACAGCCAGUGAAGUGUUUCUAGCUUUGCAUCACCCCCGCCACUUGUGCCUUGUCUUCCUGGCCUCUGUCUUCCAUUUGAUUUUCUUAAGGAGCAAGCAGGACCAAACAAUUCCUGGUGGUGGCUGUGUCUGCUGAGAAUUAAUGCCAUUUUGUCUUAGAGACUAGAGAAGGAGAGAACGACAGACCCUGGGGAAUUGUCCUCGUGGAAAAGAUGGACAAACAGAGAUUGAAAAUACAGUGUUCUGGCUGGGCGUGAUGGCUCAUACCUGUAAUCCUCACACUUUGAGAAGCCAAGGUCACCGUGAAAAAAUCAGCAAAUGUCUCUUCAACAAUUGGGAAUUACUUCUCUUAAGGAAAAAAAUUUCAAAAUUUGGAAAUAAAGCAAGAAAAAAGAGUACAUGCCUUUAAUAAACUUUACUUUUAAUUGACACAUCAUAAUUGUAUUUAUGAGCUUUCCAUG